RNAcentral lists this ribosomal RNA (207 nucleotides) under Bacteroides fragilis. Its description in RNAcentral is "partial 23S ribosomal RNA". It matches the Rfam family "Bacterial large subunit ribosomal RNA", at positions 1238 to 1442 of the family's 2925-position model. The record is from RNAcentral. Lineage: Bacteria; Pseudomonadati; Bacteroidota; Bacteroidia; Bacteroidales; Bacteroidaceae.
AUUCCACUCUGCGUUGAAGGCGAAGCGUGAGCUUUACUGGAGCGUGUGGAAAAGCAAAUGUAGGUAUAAGUAACGAUAAAGGGGGUGAGAAACCCCCUCGCCGUAAGACUAAGGUUUCCUGAUCAACGCUAAUCGGAUCAGGGUUAGUCGGGUCCUAAGGCUCAGCCGAACGGUGAGGCCGAUGGCAGAACAGGUUAAUAUUCCUGU